UAUCUGGUUGAUCCUGGGGGAGGUCACCGCUUCGGGGUUCGAUUAAGCCAUGCGAGUCGAGAGGGUUCAGACCCUCGGCGGACUGCUCAGUAACACGUGGAUAAUCUGCGUAUGUCCCGGUCUGGUACAGUGGCCUCCUCUAUAAAUCGGGAGUCCAACGAGGGGGGCAAGAGAGGGAGAAGAGAGUGUGGGGAACGGCCACUUUUCCUCUUUUCGGUACGGGUUGUGGCGCGCCAGACCCCGGAGAUGGAAUCUGAGACACGAUUCCAGGCCCUACGGGGGCGGAGGGAGGUGCGAUUACUUUACAAUGCAGGAAACUGUGAUAGGGACCCCCGAGUGCCCGUAAACGCGGCUGUCCCGGUGUUUAAAACACAUCGAAGAAAGGGCCGGGCAAGACCGGUGCAGCCGCGCGUAAUACAGGCGGCUCGAGUGUGACACUUUUAUAGGCUUAAAGCGUUCGUAGCUUGAUUUUAGUCUCCUUGGGAAAUCUCACGGCUUACUGUGAAGCGUCUAAAAGAUACCUGGGAUCUAAG
Molecule: ribosomal RNA, 533 nt
Filed under: uncultured archaeon
Lineage: Archaea
Description: bacterial SSU rRNA
Rfam family: Archaeal small subunit ribosomal RNA
Source: RNAcentral